AUGUGUGUACCAAAAGACCAAGGAGGAAUGGGUUUUCGAGACAUACAUUGCUUCAAUUUGGCCUUGUUAGCCAAACAAGCGUGGCGCCUGCUUGAUAAUCCUGAUUCCUUAUGUGCCACCAUUUUGAGAGCUAAAUAUGGAGAUUUAAUGAAUGCGAGUCUUAAAAAAGGAUCUUCUUUCACUUGGCAAAGCAUUAUGGCGGGUGUGGAUUCUCUCAAAAAUGAUUAUAUUUGUAGAGUUGGAAAUGGACAAAAUAUUGAUAUUUGGAGAGAUGCAUGGAUCCCGAAUGGGGCCAAUAGGAAAACUAUCACUCCUAGAAGAGGGCGGCUUCUAACAAAAUUUGUCGAUCUUAUAGAUCCAAUCAACAAUUGCUGGGAUGAAGAUUCGGUAAGACAAACGUUGUGGCCAAUUGAUAUCCAGAGGGUGCUUGCGAUCUCCCUCCCCACGUAUAACAUGUCGGAUUUCAUAGCUUGGAGUUUUACAAAGAAUGGACUGUUCACUGUUCGUUCUGCUUAUCUGGAGGAAUGGAAAAAAGAAACAUGGGAGGAAAUUGCAACACUCAAAUGGCAUGGGAGGAAUAAAUGCUAA
RNAcentral lists this ribosomal RNA (588 nucleotides) under Triticum aestivum (bread wheat). RNAcentral's name for it is "partial small subunit ribosomal RNA". Lineage: Eukaryota; Viridiplantae; Streptophyta; Magnoliopsida; Poales; Poaceae. The record is from RNAcentral.